Arachis duranensis is the source of this 487-nucleotide long non-coding RNA. RefSeq lists it as uncharacterized. NCBI's taxonomy places the organism in Eukaryota, Viridiplantae, Streptophyta, Magnoliopsida, Fabales, Fabaceae. The transcript is spliced from 2 exons. The record is from RefSeq and is a predicted model, not a curated record.
UUCUUCUGUGCGAUCCCCUUCUUCUUAUUCUUGUUCUUCUUCUUUUGUGCGGUGCCCUUCUUCUUCUUAAUUGUUGGUUUUAAUUGUUGCGAGUGUAUUUGCUAGGUUCAGUUUAACAGAGAAAAGGGGGAAGGCAUGGCUCAUCGAUGAAAAGCACCAUGUGUAGAAUUAGCAUCGAAGAAAAAGUCAAUGCCAAAAAGCAUCUCCUUCGCACUUGGCAGGGAAUGUUUGUACAAUUCUUUCUUCAGGGAAUGCUUGGUUGCUAUGCACAAAUAGAAGUUGGUCAUGGAUCAAGUAUUCAAGGGCUUGAGACAACUGCAACUUUUGACCAAAUAUUACUUUUGAAAGCUGUAUUUUUUUUGUUAUUUGGCAUUGUAUUUGUACAAUGAAUCAUGAAGUUCAAUUGGUAUAGUUUUAAGAAAUAUCCAAUUGUAUGAAUUGAAAAUUGUAGGAAUUGAAAAUUAAAUGGAAAGUGGUUUACAUGAAA